Poecilia reticulata (guppy) is the source of this 516-nucleotide non-coding RNA. The record is from RefSeq and is a predicted model, not a curated record. NCBI's taxonomy places the organism in Eukaryota, Metazoa, Chordata, Actinopteri, Cyprinodontiformes, Poeciliidae.
GAAAUAACAGGGGAAAUGGCAGAAGACUGAUGGCACAGCGACAUGCAGCAGCUCAAAGAAAACAUUGUCACCACAAAGCUUAAACUGUGGAAGACAAAUGCCUUCCUGGGCUAAAAGGUCGGAAGCUCUGCGAUGUCACGUCUGAUGUGCAGCUACAUCUACGAGAAAAUACCACCCCGAAAUAAACCCGAAGGAUUGAAGAAAACAAAACAGAUAUGGUGUCUAGACAAUAGGACAAAGGAUCUCUUUACCGUUCAACAUACCUGAGACAGCCGUAGACAAGCGAAGCAGGGACAUUCAGGGCCUCGUCAGUCAGACUACGGCUGACGGCGUGAACAGAGUCAGCAGGACCAUGAGGUGGCAACGGGGUCAUGUUUAUCAUACCCGAAAUCACGGAUCGACUAAUGAAGCAUUAAAUCCCAGAGCAACACGGACACCUCCAGUAAACACCUCAGCCGCCGCAGAGAGGUCACUCUGCACCGCAGAGAACAACAAAUAAACAUCUAGGAACAAUGA